GGAGAAGUGGCCGAGUUAGGUUGAAGGCACUUCCCUGCUAAGGAAGAUAUCCUUUAUAGGAUACGAGUGUUCAAAUCACUCCUUCUCCG
Molecule: transfer RNA, 89 nt
Filed under: Tissierella praeacuta
Lineage: Bacteria; Bacillati; Bacillota; Tissierellia; Tissierellales; Tissierellaceae
Description: tRNA-Ser
Rfam family: tRNA
About the family: Transfer RNA (tRNA) molecules are approximately 80 nucleotides in length.
Source: RNAcentral